This 742-nucleotide ribosomal RNA is filed under the name uncultured bacterium. RNAcentral's name for it is "bacterial SSU rRNA". It matches the Rfam family "Bacterial small subunit ribosomal RNA", at positions 57 to 773 of the family's 1533-position model. The record is from RNAcentral.
CCCAAUUGAUUGAUGGUGCUUGCACCUGAUUGAUUUUCGUUGCCAACGAGUGGCGGACGGGUGAGUAACACGUAGGUAACCUGCCCAGAAGCGGGGGACAACAUUUGGAAACAGAUGCUAAUACCGCAUAACAGCGUUGUUCGCAUGAACAACGCUUAAAAGAUGGCUUCUCGCUAUCACUUCUGGAUGGACCUGCGGUGCAUUAGCUUGUUGGUGGGGUAACGGCCUACCAAGGCGAUGAUGCAUAGCCGAGUUGAGAGACUGAUCGGCCACAAUGGGACUGAGACACGGCCCAUACUCCUACGGGAGGCAGCAGUAGGGAAUCUUCCACAAUGGGCGCAAGCCUGAUGGAGCAACACCGCGUGAGUGAAGAAGGGUUUCGGCUCGUAAAGCUCUGUUGUUAAAGAAGAACACGUAUGAGAGUAACUGUUCAUACGUUGACGGUAUUUAACCAGAAAGUCACGGCUAACUACGUGCCAGCAGCCGCGGUAAUACGUAGGUGGCAAGCGUUAUCCGGAUUUAUUGGGCGUAAAGAGAGUGCAGGCGGUUUUCUAAGUCUGAUGUGAAAGCCUUCGGCUUAACCGGAGAAGUGCAUCGGAAACUGGAUAACUUGAGUGCAGAAGAGGGUAGUGGAACUCCAUGUGUAGCGGUGGAAUGCGUAGAUAUAUGGAAGAACACCAGUGGCGAAGGCGGCUACCUGGUCUGCAACUGACGCUGAGACUCGAAAGCAUGGGUAGCGAAC